Molecule: ribosomal RNA, 253 nt
Filed under: uncultured bacterium
Lineage: Bacteria
Description: partial 16S ribosomal RNA
Rfam family: Bacterial small subunit ribosomal RNA
Source: RNAcentral
UACGAAGGGGGCUAGCGUUGUUCGGAUUUACUGGGCGUAAAGCGCACGUAGGCGGAUUGUUAAGUCGGGGGUGAAAUCCUGGAGCUCAACUUCAGAAUUGCCUUCGAUACUGGCUUUCUAGAGGCUGGAAGAGGUUAGUGGAAUUCUCAGUGUAGAGGUGAAAUUCGUAGAUAUUGGGAAGAACACCAGUGGCGAAGGCGGCUAACUGGUCCAGAUCUGACGCUGAGGUGCGAAAGCGUGGGGAGCAAACAGG